GGGGAAAUAGCUCAGUUGGUAGAGUGCUUGCCUAGCAUGCACAAAGCCCUGGGUUCAAUCCCCAGCAUUACCA
This 73-nucleotide transfer RNA is filed under the name Ictidomys tridecemlineatus (thirteen-lined ground squirrel). Its description in RNAcentral is "Spermophilus tridecemlineatus (thirteen-lined ground squirrel) tRNA". It matches the Rfam family "tRNA". Rfam says of the family: Transfer RNA (tRNA) molecules are approximately 80 nucleotides in length. Lineage: Eukaryota; Metazoa; Chordata; Mammalia; Rodentia; Sciuridae. The record is from Rfam by way of RNAcentral.